Molecule: unclassified non-coding RNA, 3500 nt
Filed under: Hevea brasiliensis (rubber tree)
Lineage: Eukaryota; Viridiplantae; Streptophyta; Magnoliopsida; Malpighiales; Euphorbiaceae
Source: RNAcentral
UCUCUCUCUCUCUCUCUCUCCCCCAAGAAAAAUAUUUUUCCAUGUUGUUUCUGGAUUAGUUAAACAUUCUGCAUCUGUCCUAUCGUUCCAAUGAUUAAAUUUUUGCACCCCUUUUAGAAUUGCAGAGUUGCUUUGCUUAUUGUUGACCAUGGAUGAUAGCUUACUUGAUAUUUUAGAUUUUCCAUUAAUGAAAUCUGCCAAUUAGUAAUGCCAUCGUUUUUUAGUAUAAAGGAAAAGCUAUUCUACAGAUCAUGUGUUUUGAAACUCACUGGUUUAAAUAUAUAUCCUUUUCUAGUUACUUGGUUAUUAUGGUAUGUCUGCUUGUUGAAAAUUCAUGUAUAAACAAUUAUCUAACUUUCUUAUGUACUAAUAACAAUUGAAAAAGGUAAUACAAUGAAUAAAGGUAUGAGCAACUUUUCUGGCAUGGUAUCCUGCAACUAUUUGAGAUAGUUGCUUAGUUUUGUAGUGUAGGUAUACAUUACAAAUGGAGUAUUUGAAAUGCAUCAAAGUCCUGAAUAUGAGAUUCUUGAAUAAGUGCCAGCCCUUGUUCAUUAACAUGCUCUUUCCUGGCUGAUGCCAAAUCUGUGCACCCUUUCCUUCAUAUGAAUUGGACCUAUUGUGCUUGUCUCAUACCUACUUGAACUAUUGUUGAAAAUUAACAGCUGUUAGUAGUAGAUAUAUACUUUCAGAAUACAUCGUUUGGGCCAUCUGGUUAAAAGAGAUAAGGAGAAACUUGUGCCGGGUGGAUUCAUCAUGUGCCAUGUGGUUUUGGCUUUUAUAUGUUGGAUCAAAAGAAAACUUCUGCUGGCUUAGACCAAGCAUAGCCCCAUUUUAGCCAGGAGUCAGAAAUGUGGUUGUGAGUGUGAAAUAUGAGUGUCCUUGCUCUUAUCUCUUCAGCUGUUCCCUGCUAAAAUGGAUCCUUUUUCUGAAAAGAAAUUAUUUUUGAGUGUGAAAUAUGCUAGCAUAUGUUUGAGUUGCUUGGAGAACUAAACACUGCUUUAAUGCAGUUUGCAUUCCUGUGAUUUCUACAAACAAUGACAUAGACAUUUAUACUAUAUUUGGGUGUUGGAACAUGUGAUUUCUGCAAUAUGAUCAAAUGACUCUUUCUGUUGAGUGGGAACACCUGAAGCCUGUACCAAAUACAAGCGACAACAAGGUUUUCCAUCAUCGGGAUAUGUCUGCAUUGAUCUUGGCAAGCUGCGAAGCUUGUUGAACAGAUUUAGUGGAUCGUCCAAGAGCCCAAAAUGAGCAUCAGGGUCACCGGUCUGUGAAAGCUUGACAUGGGAAAACCCUAGAGAUGGCAGCAGAUGAUCAGGCCAAUCACAGUAGAAGUGGAAGAUGGAAUUGGGCAGAGUGGUGGAUGGUUUAUUCAUGAAAUCGGCCAAGAGGACUGUGUGGGCAAGGGCACACUUGUCAGCUAUGAUCUUCAGUACUUGCGUGGCGUGGGAGUGAGAAAGGUAGUAGAGGAUACCUUCUAGGAUCCAGACCGUGUUCUUCUCUGGUACAAACCCUGAUAUCUGAAGUUUUUCAAGCAAGUCAUUAUUUCUGAUGUCAGCUGCUACUCUGUUGAGGGACUUUGCUGUUAUUUUUGGAUGCUUAUGUUCAUCUAUGGAUCCCAUUGCUGCCUCUAGAAGAGUGGCUUUCACUUCUAAGACUUCAGGAAAAUCAACUUCAAAGACAUCGCUUUCCCUCAAGCAGCUUAGACGGUAUGCCCUUGUAUCCAUUCCCAAUGUAUAAUAUGCAUAAUAUGUUACUACCUGAACUUCUAAUAAUAAUUAAUGUUGCUGAACUUUGAACAGGAAAGUAUCAGGGCCAGCUUAAGACAACACAACCAUUGAUAGUGUGAGCUUUCCAAAUCAGAAAUUUAAUUGGCAGGUUUGGUUUCAAAUAUCUGUAUUAUUUGGAACAUAUUAAGAAAUGUGCUUAGUAGGGACCAACCUGCACCAAGGAGAACAACCUGUGCUUCGCCAUUGAAGGAAUUGAGAGCAGUCUCAAGUUUUGAAUCAAACUGGAGGUUUCGAAUGGCGAGAAGCACUCCUGAAAUAUCUUGUGCAUUUUUGAGGCAAUCAUUCUUUAUCUUCUCAUGAAAGUUUUUGAGGUAUGUCUCUCCUGCUAGUAAGUCUGCAAGUGGGUCAUGGAUCACAUGUCUCCACAAGGCUCUUCCAGCUGCUGUUUGGCGUGCUGACUGUAAUCCCAUUCACUUUGAAUUGUUGUGUGGAGCUCUUUAGCCGUUUCAUUAUAUAAUAAAUGUGGAAGCUUUAGCUCUAGCCAUUUCGGUUCUUCCUGCGAGCCAUUUUCUUGGUCUGACAUGUUUCUGGAUUUGCAGAGAAACAUGAAUAGUAAUGGAAGAUAGUAGAAUGGGAGAGCAAGUGAUAUACUGAUAUGUAAGUGGAAGGGUUUAUGGGAGGAAUCAGGCGUUGUUGCAAGAGAGAAGAAAAGAGAGGAACACGUAUAACCAACGUUUUGAGAAUCAAGCAAAAUCGUAUCCAGCUUCUCUGCCUAGAGAAAAAGGAAGGCAGCAAUUUAGUCCACAGGGUACGACCACUUCUUUUGCACCCUUCCUUUUCUGCUGCCUCUUUCUGUUGAAACAAGACGCUGUGAAUUUUGAAUUGAUCCCACUACGCACAACAAUAGGACUUAUUAUCAGCUGUAGGUGGCUCUCAACCCCCGCAUUGGACUUGGAUUAUAAUAGUGAAGAACAUUGCUUUGUCCAAACAAGUACUUGUUUGUCUUUGGGUCACUUAUGGCAGUGAUCAAGUCCUAUUCCAGGAGUGCAGGUUCCAAGAGGGUUACAUCGGCAAUUGGGUGGUUCUGAUUGAGACAAGGAGCCUAUUUUAAAUUUUAACCUGAUAGAAGUAGACCCUGCUAUUGGUUGGUUCAGAACCAUAAUUGGACUAGGGUAGGACCAGAACUGGUCAAACUCAUGUUUGACGCGAACCAUGAAUGAACUGGAACCUUUCAGUUGGGUUUUGGGUCAAAUUCGAUUUUUUCAUCUAAAAAAUUAAAAUUUUUUUUUAAAAAAAUUAGACUAUUGGAUUUGAGUUAGACCGAAUUGAACUAGAUUGACUCGUAAUCAAAAUUGGAACCUUGAGAAUUUAAGGGACAGUUCAGGUUCACCCUUUUGAUGAACUAUGAAUCAAUAGUUUCAGACUGGUUCGUAUUAGAAACAGCCCAAUGUCCGGGCCAAGAUGGAAGGAACCCAAUAGGCCGUUUGGAUAUUUCUUGGAUAUUAAGUUAUUCACACAUGCUAUCCUUUGGCAUGGGCCCGAUAUUGAGAUGAAGCUUAUAUGUGUGCUCGUAUAAGUUGCACAAGGAAAUGUUAAAUGUUUGUAGCUGCUAUUUUCCGUUCUGUUUGCCAUUAUUUUCAAGAAUGAUUUCAGCCAUGUCACUAAAUUUAUCAUUUUUAUAUGGUCAUUAAGCUUUAAAUUUUUAUUCUAAUUUUAUUGAAAUGAAAUAUAAUAUUCUUGUAAACGUGACCAAAUUAUUUGUUAGAAUUUGAA